Cucurbita moschata (crookneck pumpkin) is the source of this 719-nucleotide long non-coding RNA. RefSeq lists it as uncharacterized. Lineage: Eukaryota; Viridiplantae; Streptophyta; Magnoliopsida; Cucurbitales; Cucurbitaceae. The transcript is spliced from 2 exons. The record is from RefSeq and is a predicted model, not a curated record.
GGAAGUAAAGCACAUUGAAUACAUCUCUAUUUCCCAUUAAUUCCUUUGUUUCGUAUUCUUAUUUAUGGAUAUUUUUUCUUCUUAAAGUCGAAAGUUCUUAAACUUAAAAGAGGGUAAGAGGGUGAAGGCUAUCUCGAUCUUUAGUUCAUCAACCAACUGCACACUUGUUUCUCGAGCACGUUCUAUAUUAUCUAUGAUACUUAAUAGUUAGUACAUCUUGAGCUAGAUUUGUGCCCAACCAAGGGAUAUUGGCCAAAUUAUUAUUAGGGAAUGUGUUGCUGGCUUUUAUUUGCUAGACGACACAAGGAAUUCACGUGCAGCAAGCAGGAGCAGAAAGGCAAAGGGCUAUUGAAAUUUAAGAAACCCUCUGCCCUAAACGUGAUGCUGAAGAAGCCCUUUGCAUUGAAUUAACAUCUGCUACAUGUGUCAGUUUCAGAUUCAUCAAUACUUCCUAUAAAGGUGCUCUUUGACCUAAAUUCACGACGAAUUUUUGGUACGGGUGAGAAUUUGAACUUUAGUUACCUUUACGAGCAAGGUCAUGUCUUUUUAUACAGCUUAUACCCAUGUUUCUAGAGCUACUCGGUCCAUUAGGACACAAAUUUAAUGCAAUUUUUUCUAUUGGCUCCUAUGUUUCUAAGCUUGUAGCCUUAUUGAUGUAACCCACUAAAUGCUUGUUCGGGAUGAACAUCUAAUUCUCUGUAAGGUUUUUGAAAUUAGAA